This is a long non-coding RNA of Spea bombifrons (plains spadefoot toad), 279 nucleotides long. RefSeq lists it as uncharacterized. The transcript is spliced from 2 exons. Lineage: Eukaryota; Metazoa; Chordata; Amphibia; Anura; Pelobatidae. The record is from RefSeq and is a predicted model, not a curated record.
CGAGCAAAUAAUACGAUGCGGGAGGUCUGCAGACUGUCACCGAUACGGUGUCAUCACCAACCCGGAUAAAACAAUCCAUUUCAGUACCAGCUGCUGUUACAGCGAUUUGUGCAUCGUCAAGCUGCCUACACUUCCCACCAACAGCCCCGUUAAAAAUGGACUUUGGUGCAAAAGCUGUUUCUCCCCAACUUCCGAUCAGUGCCUGGUGCAAGACACCAUGGAGUGUACGGGUAAUGAAACGAGCUGCGUCCGCUAUACGGCGGUAGAAGUGACCCAAGG